AUGGAAUGGAAACUGCGGAAGGCUUCUAGAUUUGCAGGAAUUCCUGUUGUGUUUGGCAACUGCUCUUACCAUUCUGGCUCGUGUCAGGGAGGCUUUUCUCCUAGGAGAGGAUCAAUGUCCAAUUAUCACGACGAUCACGUCGAAGACAUGGAGGAUGAUUAUGACAUGGACGACCCCGCUGAGGACAUGGUUGACGCCCACCACGAGCGAGGUUUAAGAGACUCCGAUUCGGAGGAUGACGAGUAUGCCCAUUCGAAUGAUAAGAUCCCAGAUACUUCGGCAGCGGAUGCAAGAAAAGGGAAGGACAUCCAAGGAAUACCCUGGGAGAGGCUAGCUAUCACAAGGGAAAACUACAGACAGACCAGAUUAGAGCAGUACAAAAACUAUGAGAACAUUCCUAAUUCUGGAGAAGCAGCAGCCAAGGAAUGCAAACCGACUGUGAAAGGUGGAAUGUAUUAUGAAUUCAGACAAAAUACUAGAUCAGUAAAAUCAACCAUCCUACAUUUUCAGCUGAGAAAUUUAGUAUGGGCUACAUCCAAGCAUGACGUCUACCUAAUGUCACAUUACUCAGUGCUUCACUGGUCAGCGUUGAGUGGUGUGGACACUGAACUUAUGAAUGUCCAAGGUCAUGUGGCACCAAGGGAGAAGCACCCUGGAAGUCUAUUAGAGGGGUUUUCUCAGACUCAAGUUAGUACCUUGGCAGUCAAGGACAAUUUGCUGGUAGCUGGCGGAUUUCAAGGGGAGCUAAUCUGCAAGCACCUUGAUCGAGAAGGAAUAAGCUUUUGCUGUCGAACAACAUAUGAUGAUAAUGCUAUUACUAAUGCAGUUGAGAUAUUCAAUACUGCUAGUGGUGCUGUUCAUUUCAUGGCAUCGAAUAAUGACUCCGGUGUAAGAGAUUAUGACAUGGAGAGAUUCCAGUUAUGCAAGCACUUUCAGUUUGAUUGGCCAGUAAAUCAUACAUCUCUGAGUCCUGACGGGAAGCUUGUUGUUAUUGUGGGGGACGAUCCUAAUGGUUUACUUAUUGAUGCCAAUUCAGGAAAGACUCUUCAUUCCAUGAAAGGUCAUCACGACUUCUCAUUUGCAUCAGCCUGGAGCCCUGAUGGCCGAACGUUUGCUACUGGGAACCAAGACAAGACAUGCCGAAUCUGGGAUGCGAGGAACCUAUCAAAAGCAGUCCAUGUAUUGAAGGGUAACCUUGGAGCUAUCAGAUCAAUCCGGUUUACGUCGGAUGGGCAGUUCCUGUCGAUGGCGGAACCAGCGGACUUUGUCCAUAUCUUUGACGUGAAGAGCGACUACAACAGAAGGCAAGAGCUGGACUUCUUCGGCGAGAUAUCUGGGAUGUCUUUCAGCCCCGACACAGACGCCCUCUUCGUCGGCGUGUGGGAUAGAACAUAUGGUAGCCUCCUCCAGUUUGGGCGUCUGUAUAACAAUUGGUACCAUGACACGCUGCUUUGA
This 1455-nucleotide ribosomal RNA is filed under the name Triticum aestivum (bread wheat). Its description in RNAcentral is "partial small subunit ribosomal RNA". The record is from RNAcentral. Lineage: Eukaryota; Viridiplantae; Streptophyta; Magnoliopsida; Poales; Poaceae.